UUGAAUUGAAGAGUUUGAUCAUGGCUCAGAUUGAACGCUGGCGGCAGGCUUAACACAUGCAAGUCGAACGGUAGCAGGUAAGUACUUGUACUUAUGUUGACGAGUGGCGGACGGGUGAGUAAUGCUUGGGGAUCUGGCUUAUGGAGGGGGAUAACGACGGGAAACUGUCGCUAAUACCGCGUAGAAUCGAGAGAUGAAAGUGUGGGACCUUCGGGCCACAUGCCAUAGGAUGAACCCAAGUGGGAUUAGGUAGUUGGUGGGGUAAUGGCCUACCAA
RNAcentral lists this ribosomal RNA (276 nucleotides) under Aggregatibacter aphrophilus. RNAcentral's name for it is "partial 16S ribosomal RNA". It matches the Rfam family "Bacterial small subunit ribosomal RNA", at positions 1 to 271 of the family's 1533-position model. The record is from RNAcentral. Lineage: Bacteria; Pseudomonadati; Pseudomonadota; Gammaproteobacteria; Pasteurellales; Pasteurellaceae.